GCAUAUCAAUAAGCGGAGGAAAAGAAACCAACAGGGAUUGCCUCAGUAACGGCGAGUGAAGCGGCAACAGCUCAAAUUUGAAAUCUGGCCUUACGGUCCGAGUUGUAAUUUGCAGAGGAUGUUUCUGGCAAGGUGCCUUCCGAGUUCCCUGGAACGGGACGCCAUAGAGGGUGAGAGCCCCGUCCGGUUGGUCGCCGCGCCUCUGUGAAACUCCUUCGACGAGUCGAGUAGUUUGGGAAUGCUGCUCUAAAUGGGAGGUAUACGUCUUCUAAAGCUAAAUAUUGGCCAGAGACCGAUAGCGCACAAGUAGAGUGAUCGAAAGAUGAAAAGCACUUUGAAAAGAGGGUUAAAAAGUACGUGAAAUUGUUGAAAGGGAAGCACUCAUGACCAGACUUGGGCCGGUUGAUCAUCCGCCGUUCUCGGCGGUGCACUCUGCCGGCCCAGGCCAGCAUCAGUUCGUCCCGGGGGAUAAAGGUUUCGGGAAUGUGGCUCCUCCGGGAGUGUUAUAGCCCGUUGCGUAAUACCCUGGGGUGGACUGAGGUUCGCGCAUUGCAAGGAUGCUGGCGUAAUGGUCUUCAGUGACCCGUCUUGAAACACGGACC
RNAcentral lists this ribosomal RNA (602 nucleotides) under Protocreopsis rutila. RNAcentral describes it as "eukaryotic LSU rRNA". It matches the Rfam family "Eukaryotic large subunit ribosomal RNA", at positions 38 to 667 of the family's 3401-position model. The record is from RNAcentral. Lineage: Eukaryota; Fungi; Ascomycota; Sordariomycetes; Hypocreales; Bionectriaceae.